CUCCGUGUAGCUCAAUGGAUAGAGCAACGGCCUUCUAAGCCGUAGGUUGUAGGUUCGACCCCUACCACGGAGGCCA
Molecule: transfer RNA, 76 nt
Filed under: Luminiphilus sp.
Lineage: Bacteria; Pseudomonadati; Pseudomonadota; Gammaproteobacteria; Cellvibrionales; Halieaceae
Description: tRNA-Arg
Rfam family: tRNA
About the family: Transfer RNA (tRNA) molecules are approximately 80 nucleotides in length. Their secondary structure includes four short double-helical elements and three loops (D, anti-codon, and T loops).
Source: RNAcentral